Molecule: long non-coding RNA, 1070 nt
Organism: Oreochromis aureus
Lineage: Eukaryota; Metazoa; Chordata; Actinopteri; Cichliformes; Cichlidae
Source: Ensembl
AAACAAAAGAAAAGUGUCUAUAAGAGUGACUCAGGAGUGCUCUUGCACUGAUUUAUCAAAGUAAGUGAUUAGUAUAGAAAGAAAAUGAAAAUAAUUCAAUGAUGUGAUAAGGUUUAAAAACAUGUAUUCCUCUUGUUAAGUUGGCUGUUGAGCUGUGGGUUUAUGCAAAUUAGCUGGAGUGAGUGAGUGACAAAGACACUUCCUGUGUGCGUGUGUGGCGGAGGCUUUCGGUUCAGUUCAAGAGAGAGCAGUGGCUGUUGAAGAGUAUUGGGAGAAAUAUAUAAUGGCCUGGAAGAGAGUGAACGGACGGCGCUGACAAAAUUACCAAGUACGAAAAUCAGGUGGGCUUUACAGAAUUAUAAUUGAUUACAAUCAGAGACUGAUUGGCGGCAAGUCUCUGUCUAAAAAUGGAUUGAUCGAUUCAAUCCAGUCAAAAGUAUAGAGAACUAUUUUCCUAAAAAGGAAAACGAAAUAAAACAAAUGAUUGAACUGAUUUUGCUGAUGUGGAGCAUCUGAUGACGUGCGCGGAAGGCUGCAGAUCAGCAAAAAAAUAUCAUGUGUGAAUGCAUGGGAGUGAAUGUGAGUGGUUGGACCAAGGGGGGAAAUAAAUAAAAGGUUGACAAACAGGAGAAGUGGAAGACUUAAAUCUGGGGAUGCUGAUGUUCCUUUGAGUGAAUUUCUGCUUUGUUGAUUUGGGUUAGACCAUAUUAAUACAUUAUAAAAUGCUAAAAGGGAAACAUUGAUGUAACUCAAGUUACCAUUAACUGAGGUAACACAUGAUUAAUAACUGUUCUGUUCAAGUUUAUUUUUUGUUAUGACAUAGACGGGAUCAUAAGGGGAGAGUUGAGUAUGAAAUGUAAACUACAGGUUUUGUUUUCAGGAAAUUCCAAGGAUCCAGACCUUGCAUGGAGCAACGAGUUGGAGGAGAUUUGACAUGAUGAUUAAAUUGAUUUUGUUCCUUAAACACAGGUUUUCAGGGCUGAAGCAAAACACCGGAGAGGAGAAUUGCUGAGCGGUUCUGGGCAAUGAAAUGACUAACCUUUUUCCUUUUAAUUUGUUAAGCUUGGGUG